Physeter macrocephalus (sperm whale) is the source of this 386-nucleotide long non-coding RNA. RefSeq lists it as uncharacterized. The transcript has 4 exons. The record is from RefSeq and is a predicted model, not a curated record. NCBI's taxonomy places the organism in Eukaryota, Metazoa, Chordata, Mammalia, Artiodactyla, Physeteridae.
GCCAGGAACUCGGCCAGCAGGUCGGUGUUGCUGAGACACUGCACCACGGCGUUCAUGAAACAGGCGAAGGUGAAGAGAAGGGAAAGGAAGAUUCCCCGGAGGGCAGCCUCCGGCGUAGCGAGAGACGCACACUGGGGGCUGUGAAGUGGUGGAGAGCACCGUGGUACCGCUGGUUCCGCCGCAGGCUCAGGACUGACCUGUGACAAAGUGCACUCCUUCCACGGUGAUAUCCAUGCCGUUGAUGGCCCCGGACAAGGAACCAUCCAACUCUCUGAUUACUGACCCAUCAAACACUUCCCAAGCCCUUGACCAGGAAUCAGGAGUGGGAACUUGAGUAUUUCACCCAGAACUUUCUCUCUGUUUCAUGUUGAUGGCAACUUGCUGUG